AAUCUCAAUCCUCGCUUGGUAUUGGGCAUCGCGGUCCGCCGCGUGCCUCAAAUCGACCGGCUGGGUCUUCUGUCCCCUAAGCGUUGUGGAAACUAUUCGCUAAAGGGUGUUCGGGAGGCUACGCCGUAAAACAACCCCAUUUCUAA
This 146-nucleotide unclassified non-coding RNA is filed under the name uncultured Dothideomycetes. Its description in RNAcentral is "sequence contains ITS2". The record is from RNAcentral. Lineage: Eukaryota; Fungi; Ascomycota; Dothideomycetes.